CCUACGGGGAGCAGCAGUGGGGAAUAUUGGACAAUGGGCGAAAGCCUGAUCCAGCCAUGCCGCGUGUGUGAAGAAGGCCUUCGGGUUGUAAAGCACUUUCAGUGGGGAAGAAAGCCUUGGGGCUAAUACCCUCGAGGAAGGACAUCACCCACAGAAGAAGCACCGGCUAACUCCGUGCCAGCAGCCGCGGUAAUACGGAGGGUGCGAGCGUUAAUCGGAAUUACUGGGCGUAAAGCGCGCGUAGGCGGUCUGAUAAGCCGGUUGUGAAAGCCCCGGGCUCAACCUGGGAACGGCAUCCGGAACUGUCAGGCUAGAGUGCAGGAGAGGAAGGUAGAAUUCCCGGUGUAGCGGUGAAAUGCGUAGAGAUCGGGAGGAAUACCAGUGGCGAAGGCGGCCUUCUGGACUGACACUUACGCUGAGGUGCGAAAGCGUGGGUAGCAAACAGGAUUAGAUACCCGAGUAGUC
RNAcentral lists this ribosomal RNA (465 nucleotides) under Vreelandella stevensii. Its description in RNAcentral is "partial 16S ribosomal RNA". It matches the Rfam family "Bacterial small subunit ribosomal RNA", at positions 338 to 795 of the family's 1533-position model. Lineage: Bacteria; Pseudomonadati; Pseudomonadota; Gammaproteobacteria; Oceanospirillales; Halomonadaceae. The record is from RNAcentral.